AAGUCGUAACAAGGUUUCCGUAGGUGAACCUGCGGAAGGAUCAUUACCGAGUGUUUUUGUCGAGAGACGAGAUACCCGAUCUGAUGUCAUUUGAUGGUUGGGGUGAGGAGUGGUUUUGGGAGGGACUAGCGGUCGGGUAACUGCAAGCUAGUUCGAACCGGAAUCACAUCUUGCAGCCAGCACGAUAUUUCGGCGGAAGAGGUAGUGUUUGAGCUGCCCGCCGCCGGCCGUAUUUACAACUCUGUUUGAAAUGUGAAGUCUGAAGAGAUAUGGAAAAAAAUGAAAAGCAAAACUUUCAACAACGGAUCUCUUGGCUCUG
RNAcentral lists this unclassified non-coding RNA (319 nucleotides) under Scolecobasidium sexuale. RNAcentral describes it as "Ochroconis sexualis partial internal transcribed spacer region". The stretch from base 1 to 46 matches the Rfam family "Eukaryotic small subunit ribosomal RNA", at positions 1786 to 1831 of the family's 1831-position model. The record is from RNAcentral. Lineage: Eukaryota; Fungi; Ascomycota; Dothideomycetes; Venturiales; Sympoventuriaceae.